This is a long non-coding RNA of Patella vulgata (common limpet), 441 nucleotides long. RefSeq lists it as uncharacterized. Lineage: Eukaryota; Metazoa; Mollusca; Gastropoda; Patellidae. The transcript has 4 exons. The record is from RefSeq and is a predicted model, not a curated record.
UAAGUGAAUGACUCCACUUAUAUGACUGUUUAAUGUUCAAAUAUUUUUAUAAAUAGUAAGGUUUCUCCAAUUUUCACAUCUAUCCAUUUUUCUCGACAGCUGUUGUGAUCGAUUUGAAAAUGUUGGCGAAGAUUUUGUUUGUUCUUGGUUUACUUGCCGUAAGUAAAGGUCAACUCGAUACUUGUCCAGAUGGAUCAGCAAUCGCCCUUUGUUUCAGUAAUCCAUGUUUAACGGCUACUUGCUCUGCUUUUCCAGAUGCAAAAUGUGUGACUAACUUUUGUGGAAGCGAGGCCUGUAAGGCACAGUUCUUUGUGGACGACGAGCUAGUUAAAUGUUAGCAUUAAUACAUUGUGACUCGAUAACGAUUAAUUUAUCAGGAUUAAAAGAAUAUUCAUUUCUAAUCAUUUUUUCGUCUAAAUAAAGUAAAUCCCCUUUUAUAAA